GUAUAAAAUGCUCUUUUUACAGUGUUUGUUGCCAUACUCCUCCGAAACGACUUAACCGAUUUUUAUGAAAUUUUGCAAGUGUACUCGACCGGACCGGGAGUAGGUCGUUAUCUAUAUUUCAUACCCGUGCGUCUUAAGGGGGCCUGCCACCCUUAUAUUUAUUUCUAUUUUUUCAGACAAACUCUUUUUUUUUUAAUUGCAUAUUAUGUGUAACGUAAAGAUACAUACAACCCUAAAUUUUCACUUUUCUAUCACUAACCGUUAUUUUUUAAUGGCCAUUUAAAUAUUUUACAUCUAUAUAAACAAAAGAAAGUCGUGACAGUUACCAACACAUAACUCGAAAACGACUGAAUAGAUUUUUAUGAAAUUUUCCACGUGUAUUUGACCGGACCGAGAAUAGGUUGUUAUGUAUUUUUCAUAUCCGUACGUCGUAACGGGGGCUGCCCCCCUAAAAUAUUUUUUUAUUUUUUUGAUCAAACUGUUUUUUCUUAAUUUUAUGUGAUGUGGAAGGCAAAGGUAAAUACAACCCUAAAUUUUCACUUUUCUAUCUUCGACCGUUAUUUUUUAAUAGCCAUCUAAAGUUUUGCAUCUUAUAUAUAAAAAUCUAUUGCUGUGCGUUAGUCUCGCUAAAACUCGAGAAUGUGUGGACCGAUUUGGCUAAUUUUGGUAUUGAAUUAUUUGUGGAAGUUCAGGGAAGGUUUAUACGGUUUUAUAUUGUCAUUUUAGUAGCCACCAAAAUUUUUACAGCUAUAUGUAUAAAAUGCUCUUUUUACAGUGUUUGUUGCCAUACUCCUCCGAAACGACUUGACCGAUUUUUAUGAAAGUUUGCAAGUGUACUCGACCGGACCGGGAGUAGGUCGUUAUCUAUAUUUCAUACCCGUGCGUCUUAAGGGGGCUUGCCACCCUUAUAUUUAUUUCUAUUUUUUCAGACAAACUCUUUUUUUUUUAAUUGCAUAUGAUGUGGAACGUAAAGAUACAUACAACCCUAAAUUUUCACUUUUCUAUCACU
Diabrotica virgifera virgifera (western corn rootworm) is the source of this 1009-nucleotide long non-coding RNA. RefSeq lists it as uncharacterized. The transcript is spliced from 3 exons. Lineage: Eukaryota; Metazoa; Arthropoda; Insecta; Coleoptera; Chrysomelidae. The record is from RefSeq and is a predicted model, not a curated record.